Molecule: ribosomal RNA, 460 nt
Filed under: uncultured bacterium
Lineage: Bacteria
Description: partial 16S ribosomal RNA
Rfam family: Bacterial small subunit ribosomal RNA
Source: RNAcentral
CCUACGGGAGGCUGCAGUGAGGAAUAUUGGUCAAUGGACGAGAGUCUGAACCAGCCAAGUAGCGUGAAGGAUGACUGCCCUAUGGGUUGUAAACUUCUUUUAUAUGGGAAUAAAAUGUUCCACGUGUGGGAUUUUGUAUGUACCAUAUGAAUAAGGAUCGGCUAACUCCGUGCCAGCAGCCGCGGUAAUACGGAGGUUCCGAGCGUUAUCCGGAUUUAUUGGGUUUAAAGGGAGCGUAGGUGGAUUGUUAAGUCAGUUGUGAAAGUUUGCGGCUCAACCGUAAAAUUGCAGUUGAAACUGACUGUCUGGAGUACAGUAGAGGUGGGCGGAAUGCGUGGUGUAGCGGUGAAAUGCUUAGAUAUCACGAAGAACUCCGAUUGCGAAGGCAGUUCACUGGACUGCAACUGACACUGAGGCUCGAAAGUGUGGGUAUCAAACAGGAUUAGAUACCCGAGUAGUC